Schistocerca gregaria is the source of this 348-nucleotide long non-coding RNA. RefSeq lists it as uncharacterized. NCBI's taxonomy places the organism in Eukaryota, Metazoa, Arthropoda, Insecta, Orthoptera, Acrididae. The transcript is spliced from 3 exons. The record is from RefSeq and is a predicted model, not a curated record.
GCGAUUUCUGUGACUCCUGCGAUUUCUGCGACUUACCACCGUAUGAAAAAGUUACAUCGAUCCACACAGAAAAUUACCUGUCAUUGGUACCAGAACUACAUUUCAGUCACUCAGUAAAAUGAUAACUCAAAAUAUCAUUGUCAACAGAUCUGGAGAAAUUGCCACUGCAUCUUUAGACCGUUUUCGUCAGACGAGAGACACAGUUCUGACUCUGAUUACUGGUUGCUGUACGUAUCUAUCCACAUCAAGGCCGUUGAGAGAGACUCGUGAAGAUUCAAGACAGCUCUUAGAGGAUUUGCAGUUUAAAAUUGACAUAAGUGUGCAGAUGAGUGAUUAAACUGUGUUUUA